GCCAGACUCCUACGGGAGGCAGCAGUGAGGAAUAUUGGUCAAUGGGCGGAAGCCUGAACCAGCCAAGUCGCGUGAGGGAAGAAGGCCCUGCGGGUCGCAGACCUCUUUGGACGGGGAGCAAGGCCGCCGACGUGUCGGCGGAAGGAGAGUACCCGUAGAACAAGCAUCGGCUAACUCCGUGCCAGCAGCCGCGGUAAUACGUAGGUGGCAAGCGUUAUCCGGAUUUACUGGGUGUAAAGGGCGUGUAGGCGGGAGAGCAAGUCAGACGUGAAAUUCCAGGGCUCAACCCUGGAACUGCGUUUGAAACUGUUCUUCUUGAGUGAUGGAGAGGCAGGCGGAAUUCCGUGUGUAGCGGUGAAAUGCGUAGAUAUACGGAGGAACACCAGUGGCGAAGGCGGCCUGCUGGACAUUAACUGACGCUGAGGCGCGAAAGCGUGGGUAUCGAACAGGAUUAGAUACCCGCGUAU
This 467-nucleotide ribosomal RNA is filed under the name uncultured bacterium. Its description in RNAcentral is "bacterial SSU rRNA". It matches the Rfam family "Bacterial small subunit ribosomal RNA", at positions 330 to 793 of the family's 1533-position model. The record is from RNAcentral.